This 230-nucleotide ribosomal RNA is filed under the name uncultured bacterium. Its description in RNAcentral is "partial 16S ribosomal RNA". It matches the Rfam family "Bacterial small subunit ribosomal RNA", at positions 563 to 791 of the family's 1533-position model. The record is from RNAcentral.
GUAAGCGUGCGCAGGCGGUUAUAUAAGACAGAUGUGAAAUCCCCGGGCUCAACCUGGGAACUGCAUUGUGACUGUAUAGCUGGAGUGCGGCAGAGGGGGAUGGAAUUCCGCGUGUAGCAGUGAAAUGCGUAGAUAUGCGGAGGAACACCGAUGGCGAAGGCAAUCCCCUGGGCCUGCACUGACGCUCAUGCACGAAAGCGUGGGGAGCAAACAGGAUUAGAUACCCCUGU